This 465-nucleotide ribosomal RNA is filed under the name Vreelandella stevensii. RNAcentral describes it as "partial 16S ribosomal RNA". It matches the Rfam family "Bacterial small subunit ribosomal RNA", at positions 338 to 795 of the family's 1533-position model. The record is from RNAcentral. Lineage: Bacteria; Pseudomonadati; Pseudomonadota; Gammaproteobacteria; Oceanospirillales; Halomonadaceae.
CCUACGGGAGGCAGCAGUGGGGAAUAUUGGACAAUGGGCGAAAGCCUGAUCCAGCCAUGCCGCGUGUGUGAAGAAGGCCUUCGGGUUGUAAAGCACUUUCAGUGGGGAAGAAAGCCUUGGGGCUAAUACCCUCGAGGAAGGACAUCACCCACAGAAGAAGCACCGGCUAACUCCGUGCCAGCAGCCGCGGUAAUACGGAGGGUGCGAGCGUUAAUCGGAAUUACUGGGCGUAAAGCGCGCGUAGGCGGUCUGAUAAGCCGGUUGUGAAAGCCCCGGGCUCAACCUGGGAACGGCAUCCGGAACUGUCAGGCUAGAGUGCAGGAGAGGAAGGUAGAAUUCCCGGUGUAGCGGUGAAAUGCGUUGAGAUCGGGAGGAAUACCAGUGGCGAAGGCGGCCUUCUGGACUGACACUGACGCUGAGGUGCGAAAGCGUGGGUAGCAAACAGGAUUAGAUACCCGAGUAGUC